RNAcentral lists this long non-coding RNA (1147 nucleotides) under Oryzias sinensis (Chinese medaka). Its description in RNAcentral is "lncRNA (ENSOSIG00000019861.1)". Lineage: Eukaryota; Metazoa; Chordata; Actinopteri; Beloniformes; Adrianichthyidae. The record is from RNAcentral.
ACCAUGAUGAGGAAGUUACAGAGAAGCUGCCACAGGGGGAUGACACACCACCAUUGUCAAAGUCAGCAACCAAAGAAGAAGGAGGUGAAAGCAACGAAGGUGAAGAAGAACCGGAUGACGACAAAGACGAAGGAGGAGAAGAAGAAGAGCGUGAUGAUGGUAAUGUAGCUGCAGACCAUUAAAGCAUAUUUUCAAAGCCUCUCGUCUUUCUCAAAGCUUCUUGACUUCGUUUGUUAUCAGAAAUUGAAUCUUCUAUUUCUGUCUGUUCCUUCCAUGCGCCACCUCGCCAUUAAAAAAAAAAUUUAACUUAUCACACAAGCUUGGAACAAAGAAAUCCUUCAAUUAUGGAUGGCUUUAGAUGGGACAUUCUCCGUCUCCGUUUUCUUUUUUUUUUCUCUUUUAAUUUAUUAAUGUCUUUGUGGUUCCAUUGCUCUCAUACUGCAAUACAAAGGCAAAGCUCCACAAACUGUGGGAAUAAAGACUUUUUUGAGGUUACGUCGAAAUCCAAGUCUACUCGGCUUCACCCAACCCAAAUGUUUUCCACUCUCUUGACCUUCUCUCUGUUUUUAGAUGGGCCGUUAAACAACGACGUGGAGAUGCUCAGUCAAAACCCAGAGGAAAAUCCAGCCGGAGAUGAGCCAAACCAAGAACAACAGGACGAAGAAAAAGAAAGCCGAGACAAAGAUGAAGAUAUGGCUGUGGACGAUGGGAAGAAGGACAGCGAGGAGAAGGGCCUCGCCACUGAAAAUACUGAAGACAAAGCUGACAAAAAAGAACCUGAAGCAAAGAUGGUGGAAGAAGAGCCAGCAAACUCUGCUAAGGAUAAAGAAGGGGUUUCCAGCACUAAUGCCGGCGACGAAGAUUCUGCUAAAAAGAAUGAAUGACCUGUAGAGAGGAAGAGUCGACCUCAUCUGACAGCCAGCAAACUGUGCAAAGGCCAUCCAGUGGCCCCCCCCCCCACCUUCUCAGUGUGGGCUCUGACCCCGCCCCGGACCACCAGCUAUUCACAAAACGCUCACGUCCCCAACUUUACUUCGCCUCUGUCCUCAUCCUCAGAAAAGAAUCCAUCUUUGACGUCUGUAAAUGUCUGUCUGUAUACGGAGGGACUCCAACAUAUCAACCCGAAAAGAUGAGCCAUACCUCACUG